Molecule: long non-coding RNA, 569 nt
Organism: Cavia porcellus (domestic guinea pig)
Lineage: Eukaryota; Metazoa; Chordata; Mammalia; Rodentia; Caviidae
Exons: 2
Source: RefSeq, a predicted model, not a curated record
GGACAGGGCCCACCCUGGCUGGGGGACCAGAUGGAUGAACCAUGGGGGGCUGCUUUGCCCUGAUAGGGGCAGCUGGUGAGUGGCCCUUUAUCAGCUGGGCUCUGGGCCCCAGGCAGCCAUGCGGUCCUUUGGCGAGAGGCUGCGGGGUGACAGGGCUCCCGGGCCUGGGCAGGAGAGAUACAAGGAAAGGGCAUUUUUUCAAAAGCACAGGGAUCGGUGCUGCUGUCUCCGAUUAGGAAGACUGGCAGUCAAAGAUGGAAUGAAUUGGACUCACAUAAAGAGCAUCAAGUAAAGGCUUAGAGCACUCCGGGUCCAGGUGCCCUGGCUUUCCAGCUGCAGAUGGGCGCGCGGCUUCACUCCCGGGCCUUGGCACGCUCCUCGGCCCACCUCACAUGGGCCGAGUGAGGAUCCAACAGAAUAACAACUGCAGGCCAGGACCCAGCCCUCAGCCAGCCCUGGCCCACGGUCAGCAUCGCCCACGUCCUCCUGCAGCUCACCUUGGCUUUCCAUUCAAUGACCUACUGUGCAAAACAGGGGCAGGGCCAAACACAAAUAAAAAGAAAAACUCA